Molecule: long non-coding RNA, 1643 nt
Organism: Heterocephalus glaber (naked mole-rat)
Lineage: Eukaryota; Metazoa; Chordata; Mammalia; Rodentia; Bathyergidae
Source: Ensembl
CUUUUAUUGAUAGCUUGUAUAGUUUGUGUUUCUUCCAAGUUGCCCUCCUCCAUGCUCUUGUCUCUGUUAAUCUAUCUUCUCUGUUAGAGACACUUCUCACACAUUUAGUGGUAUUUCUUUGUGAUGAACUCAAAAUUAUUCAGAAGCUUUAAGCAUGUGGUGGGGCCUUCUCACUUUCAGUUUUGUGUCAGUAUAUUCUGGAAGGGCCAUUUGUUUUGGAAUCCCAUGCUGGUAUCUUCAGUCUUUUAGGGCAAUCAGAUUCUCCAAGAACAUUGUGAUAGUCUCUUUCCUAUAGGAUAAAAGUCUGAAUACCCUAUCUCUGGCAGCUCAGUGUAUGGGGAGCAGGUAGGAUAGCUGGACUGGAUGUUCAGUGACUAAAUCCACCUCUUUUUAGUACACUUGGCUAGGCUGACCUCAGGUUUUUCCAGAGAAAGGCCCUCCAGUCUUCUGUCAGGGUAGGGGAGAGGGAGCCACUUAAAGGCGUGGCCUUGAGGCUCUCUCAUUGUACAAGGGCUGCCUCUUUCACUGUCAUUGUCCUUGGGCCUCCACUUUAUCUACCUGUGGUUCCAUCUGCAUUUAGUGCUGCUGGUUCUGAGCCUUCUACACAUCCUGCUGUGGAAAUAGAAUUGGUACUCUGUAUUUUCUGCAGCUGACCUAGGGUCUGGCUGUCUAGGACCUGCUGAGUCAUUUACUGUGCUUAGAUCUUUUAUUGUUUCUCUUUCAGGUUUUUUUCUUUUUUACUAUUUGUUUUGUUUUUGUCUGUGCUAGACCUUUUCUCCAAGUUUCACAAAUUUUAACAUUUUCCCUGCUUUGAGUUCUCCUUGGCCUGUGUAUUUAGCUUAAAAAUUAAAAAAAAAUAUCCCUUUAGUAUAAUUUUAGUGGGAAGGAAUGAAAUAGCUCUGUAUAUUCUGAUUGCCAUCUUACGCUGAACUUAUUAGCUAACUUAUGCUUAUUGAUGUUUUAAUAGUUUUCAGUUAUUUCAUGUCCUUUUUCUUCAAGAAGAAUGUGGGUUUGAGAACAAGGUCUUGAUACAUUUUUUAUUCUUCAAGGUCUAGCAGUUUGCAUGGUAGGCAUAUAGGACUGUAAGAUGGUGAACACAGGAGAACUUGGUAAAAGCAGGUGGUUAUGUAUAUAUACAUCUUGUCUCUUUCAGGUUCUUGGACUACAAUGGAAAGUAGAAAGAGACACUAGAAGUAUUUUAAGUUGUCAUUAGAUUUCUUCGGAGUUACUGUUGCCUUUUGAGCUCCACCUAUUGUGCUGGGAUUACAGGCCUGUGCCAGUACACUUGGAUGGUAGAUAUAUCAUUUCUUGGCUUCCAUGCUUUAGUUUCAUUGAAGUCUCCAAGGAAAUAGAACUCAUUAGCUUACCAUCUUGAACCUGAAACCACUGAGGAUUUUGAGAGGUGUGAGAUAUGAUAUAUUGGUUUUUCAUGUGGAGAUUUGAAGAGGUAGGGAGGGGCAUGUUGGUUUGUUGCGUGAGGAUUUCAGGGGAGGUGAGGGUAUGCUGGUUUGUCAUGUUAGGAUUUUAGGAGGUGGGAGAUAUGUUGGUUUGCCAUGUGAAGAUUUUAGGUGGUGGGGGUGGUUUCUUGUGUGGCUUAGGAGAAAACGUCAUAGUUUUAGAGUCAUUUAUGCCUGAGGUCAAAA